GGGCGCUUAGCUCAGCUGGUACGAGCGUCUGGUUUACACCCAGAAUGUCGGCGGUUCGAUCCCGUCAGCGCCCAUCA
This 77-nucleotide transfer RNA is filed under the name Treponema phagedenis. RNAcentral describes it as "tRNA-Val". It matches the Rfam family "tRNA". Rfam says of the family: Transfer RNA (tRNA) molecules are approximately 80 nucleotides in length. The record is from RNAcentral. RNAcentral also lists the same sequence under 1 other name. Lineage: Bacteria; Pseudomonadati; Spirochaetota; Spirochaetia; Treponematales; Treponemataceae.